RNAcentral lists this ribosomal RNA (301 nucleotides) under uncultured bacterium. RNAcentral describes it as "partial 16S ribosomal RNA". It matches the Rfam family "Bacterial small subunit ribosomal RNA", at positions 509 to 809 of the family's 1533-position model. The record is from RNAcentral.
CAGUCGCCGCGGUAAUACGUAGGGUGCAAGCGUUAAUCGGAAUUACUGGGCGUAAAGCGUGCGCAGGCGGUUUUGCAAGUCAGAUGUGAAAUCCCCGGGCUCAACCUGGGAACUGCAUUUGAAACUACAAGGCUAGAGUGUGUCAGAGGGGGGUAGAAUUCCACGUGUAGCAGUGAAAUGCGUAGAGAUGUGGAGGAAUACCGAUGGCGAAGGCAGCCCCCUGGGAUAACACUGACGCUCAUGCACGAAAGCGUGGGGAGCAAACAGGAUUAGAUACCCGCGUAGUCCCUGUCUCUUAUAA